ACACUCCUACGGGAGGCAGUAGUGGGGAAUAUUGGACAAUGGGCGCAAGCCUGAUCCAGCCAUGCCGCGUGAGUGAUGAAGGCCCUAGGGUUGUAAAGCUCUUUCACCGGUGAAGAUAAUGACGGUAACCGGAGAAGAAGCCCCGGCUAACUUCGUGCCAGCAGCCGCGGUAAUACGAAGGGGGCUAGCGUUGUUCGGAUUUACUGGGCGUAAAGCGCACGUAGGCGGACUAUUAAGUCAGGGGUGAAAUCCCGGGGCUCAACCCCGGAACUGCCUUUGAUACUGGUAGUCUUGAGUUCGAGAGAGGUGAGUGGAAUUCCGAGUGUAGAGGUGAAAUUCGUAGAUAUUCGGAGGAACACCAGUGGCGAAGGCGGCUCACUGGCUCGAUACUGACGCUGAGGUGCGAAAGCGUGGGGAGCAAACAGGAUUAGAUACCCCAGUAGUCCC
RNAcentral lists this ribosomal RNA (447 nucleotides) under uncultured organism. RNAcentral describes it as "partial 16S ribosomal RNA". It matches the Rfam family "Bacterial small subunit ribosomal RNA", at positions 333 to 797 of the family's 1533-position model. The record is from RNAcentral.